UUGAAUAAACCUGAUGAGUUGUAGCUGGUUUCCUUAGGGGACAUGUGCUCGCUUGUCAUCUUUAUAUCUCCACCUGUGCACCUCUUGUAGACCUGGAUAACUUUCUGAGGCAACUCAGCUUUGAGGAUUGAUAACUUUGUUAGCUUUCCUUACAUUUCCAGGCCUAUGUUUUUCAUAUACCCCUAUUGUAUGUAACAGAAUGUCUUAUUAGGCUUGAAUGCCUAUAAACUAUAUA
This 235-nucleotide unclassified non-coding RNA is filed under the name uncultured Tubaria. RNAcentral's name for it is "sequence contains ITS1". Lineage: Eukaryota; Fungi; Basidiomycota; Agaricomycetes; Agaricales; Strophariaceae. The record is from RNAcentral.